UGAAACAGUUCCUGACUUUAAGAGAUUUACAUUUCAUUGGCGGGACAGACACAAUACAUGCAAAAAAGAUAUAUACAAGUUUAUACAAAACAACUAUUUAUAAAUUGUUCGUGAAAUAAAUACAAAGUGAUUGGGGGUAAGUAACGGCAGUUGAGGAGAUUAGGAAAGGCUUCAUCAAGGAAUUGAUAUUUGAGAUGAACAAGCUAGAAAUAAGAAAGAAUUUCAGUCAUGAAAGAGAGUCUAUGUAAUGGUAUAGAAAUGGGAGAAGAGUCUUAUGUAAAGUCUGACUGGAUUGUGUGGUACAUGAAGGAGAAUAAUAUAAAAAGGCUGGAAAAAUAAGGUCGGGCCAGGUUGUCAAAAGACUUUACAUGAUAGCAUUGCAUUGAAUGCUAUAGAUAAUGGGGAGCCAUUUGCAGUCUGGGUGAAAGACAGAUUGGAGAAGGAAAGAGAUUUCAGCAAAGGAACCAAUUAGAUGACUUGAAAUAGGCCAGGAGAAACCUAAAGAGGGCCUGAGAGGAGAGAAUGGAAUGAAUACUAGAAAUGUUGUAGAGAGAGAGUGCAUAAGACUUGGCAGCUUACUAGAUAUAUGGACUAAGGAAGAGUCAUAGGUUGAGGGUGACUUCAAGACCCUUUUCAAAUAGGGAGAAUUUGGGGUGAAAGAUAGAGUAUACCCUUAAAGGCAAAUAAGAGGCAGAGAGCAUAUAGUGGAUAAAUCCUACCUGCUGUUUCUUUUCUCUCUCUCUCUCUCUAGAUGUAAACAUCACCCAUGAGUUCUUGCAUUUCGAGUAUAUCUAUUUUGUAAUUACAUAAGGGGAAGAGAGCCAAUUUGGACAUUUUUGCUUGGGGGCUCUAAAACAAAACUUACACAUUAUGUUUGCAAUUGUUUGUUUUGUGUUAUGCCAUGUCUGGGCUGUGUGUGUGUGUGUGUGUGUGUGUGUGUGUGUUAAUGUCUAUAUUAUACACACACACACACAUACACAUGCACACGCACGCACACGGUUUCCAGUUUCAAAAGCCAUACCAAAAAGCAACAGUAGAUGGCCUGCCUCUCAUAGGAAGGGAAAUCUCAAUUUCAGCUCUGAACAAUUGAUGGAAGGACGGGAGUCUAUUAUUUCCAAGGGAAAUAGCAUUAAAAGUGUAAGAAACUGAAAAAGUCAGAGUCUUCCCUAGAACAUGAUGGGAGAAUCAAUAAUUAAAUAGGGGUUGACAUAUUUCUAGGACGUGCUAUCUUGCCAUUUCAAAGUGAUAAUGAAAGCAGUGAAAGUUUGAACAAGGAAGUAAAGUUAAGUUAAAGUUCUAGAAAUUCCUCCAUUGUAUGGGUUUCUCUGACUUUUUUUUUUUGUGUGUGUGUUUUUCAUCUUGUUGAGGGUGAAAGUGCUAAAAGGAAGAUUCUUCUGCAGACAGGAAACAUUUAUGCAGAAAUCAGAGGAUUCAGAAUCUGACUCACCAUGAGGCCUUUCUCAAAUCCUCUAAGAAGACUGAAGUCUGAAGAUCAGAAAGUUUGAAGAUUUAUCCACAAAUCAUUAAUGUCAAGAGAAUGGAAAACUGAAGAAUUUUCUUUGAACUUUGUUCUUGGGUCCAAAUCUCACACAACAAGUUUCGACCUUAAAUUGGAAUCUAAUGUCAGUAUCUUAAAAGGUCUAAUUCUUUUAAAUAAGUUCCUAAACUUAAAAGAAAAUAAGUCCAUGAACUUAAUGUUAACAAUCCGAACCAAACUAUUGAAUGCAGUUUUAAACUUUUACAUGUGAAAGAUAUUCACACUUGAUAGUUAUUAUGCUAAGUUACUUUUAAUGUUAGCUCUGUUGCCUUCAAUAGCUAUUUCAACUAUGACAUUUUGUUUAGAAGACAUUUCUUCUUUAAACAUCAGUCUCAGGCAGCAAGAGAUCAUAAUCUAAAUUAACCUUGUUUGAUUCAGGAAAAAUUAUUUUGCAAUACUACAGUUUUCAGAAUCAUUGGACAUAUAAAAUGGACCUAGGAGCAGGAAGAGAAGCUGGUGAUGAUAUACACCGCCAUAUUCUGUAUGAAUUUGAACAUUACAUUAAAUUUUUUUUUAAUUCACAAA
Molecule: long non-coding RNA, 2062 nt
Organism: Sarcophilus harrisii (Tasmanian devil)
Lineage: Eukaryota; Metazoa; Chordata; Mammalia; Dasyuromorphia; Dasyuridae
Exons: 3
Source: RefSeq, a predicted model, not a curated record